UACGAAGGGGGCUAGCGUUGCUCGGAAUUACUGGGCGUAAAGCGCACGUAGGCGGCUUUCUAAGUCGGGGGUGAAAUCCUGGAGCUCAACUCCAGAACUGCCUUUGAUACUGGGAAGCUCGAGUCCGGAAGAGGUGAGUGGAACUGCGAGUGUAGAGGUGAAAUUCGUAGAUAUUCGCAAGAACACCAGUGGCGAAGGCGGCUCACUGGUCCGGUACUGACGCUGAGGUGCGAAAGCGUGGGGAGCAAACAGG
Molecule: ribosomal RNA, 253 nt
Filed under: uncultured bacterium
Lineage: Bacteria
Description: partial 16S ribosomal RNA
Rfam family: Bacterial small subunit ribosomal RNA
Source: RNAcentral